Prionailurus viverrinus (fishing cat) is the source of this 406-nucleotide long non-coding RNA. RefSeq lists it as uncharacterized. NCBI's taxonomy places the organism in Eukaryota, Metazoa, Chordata, Mammalia, Carnivora, Felidae. The record is from RefSeq and is a predicted model, not a curated record. The transcript has 3 exons.
UAUGACCUGCCAGCCUACCUUCUGGGGCUCUGCCUGAUGAACUUGCAUUUUUACUGCAUGGGGCAGAAGCAAAUGGAACACACUCUGUUGUUACCCCCUUGUAAGACCAGACCAUGGGUUCCUAGUCUCAUCUUUGACCACAUCAUCACCACCAUCUAUCAUCACAACCAAUCUCAAUUGGGAAAUGCAGUCAUUUAGGAAAUGUGCAGCUACUUGAAAUUUUUUAGGUACACUUUAGUUUCCCACCUUAGAGAAAGAUGGUGUGGCAUGAGAGAUAUCACAGCUACGCAUGAUUGAAAGCUUUCUCUUGUCUCAACUUGUGAAAAGCCAUAUAACCCAAAUCCAAAGAGACCUAGGCUGAAGUCUGCUGAUGAUGGUUCUCGGAGUGUUGACUCUCUCAAUGAAA